This 72-nucleotide transfer RNA is filed under the name Camelus bactrianus (Bactrian camel). It matches the Rfam family "tRNA". From Rfam's summary of the family: Transfer RNA (tRNA) molecules are approximately 80 nucleotides in length. The record is from Rfam by way of RNAcentral. RNAcentral also lists the same sequence under 2 other names. Lineage: Eukaryota; Metazoa; Chordata; Mammalia; Artiodactyla; Camelidae.
GGGUAUAUAGCUCAGUGGCAGAGUGCCUGCUUAGCAUGUAGGAGGUCCUGGGUUCAAUCCUCAGUACCUCCA